Molecule: ribosomal RNA, 746 nt
Filed under: uncultured bacterium
Lineage: Bacteria
Description: bacterial SSU rRNA
Rfam family: Bacterial small subunit ribosomal RNA
Source: RNAcentral
ACGCUGGCGGCAGGCCUAACACAUGCAAGUCGAGCGGUAGAGAGGAGCUUGCUCCUCUUGAGAGCGGCGGACGGGUGAGUAAUGCCUAGGAAUCUGCCUGGUAGUGGGGGAUAACGUUCGGAAACGGACGCCAAUACCGCAUACGUCCUACGGGAGAAAGCAGGGGACCUUCGGGCCCUUGCGCUAUCAGAUGAGCCUAGGUCGGAUUAGCUAGUUGGUGAGGUAAUGGCUCACCAAGGCGACGAUCCGUAACUGGUCUGAGAGGACGAUCAGUCACACUGGAACUGAGACACGGUCCAGACUCCUACGGGAGGCAGCAGUGGGGAAUAUUGGACAAUGGGCGAAAGCCUGAUCCAGCCAUGCCGCGUGUGUGAAGAAGGUCUUCGGAUUGUAAAGCACUUUAAGUUGGGAGGAAGGGCAGUAAAUUAAUACUUUGCUGUUUUGACGUUACCGACAGAAUAAGCACCGGCUAACUCUGUGCCAGCAGCCGCGGUAAUACAGAGGGUGCAAGCGUUAAUCGGAAUUACUGGGCGUAAAGCGCGCGUAGGUGGUUUGUUAAGUUGGAUGUGAAAUCCCCGGGCUCAACCUGGGAACUGCAUUCAAAACUGACUGACUAGAGUAUGGUAGAGGGUGGUGGAAUUUCCUGUGUAGCGGUGAAAUGCGUAGAUAUAGGAAGGAACACCAGUGGCGAAGGCGACCACCUGGACUAAUACUGACACUGAGGUGCGAAAGCGUGGGGAGCAAAC